RNAcentral lists this long non-coding RNA (3385 nucleotides) under Gadus morhua (Atlantic cod). RNAcentral's name for it is "lncRNA (ENSGMOG00000022244.1)". The record is from RNAcentral. Lineage: Eukaryota; Metazoa; Chordata; Actinopteri; Gadiformes; Gadidae.
UAAAAGGUUGGGAAACAUUAUAUACUCCCCGCAGUAAACUCGCCUUAAUUUCCUACAUAGCUCGAGUCAUGGGCAUGGCCCUUCGUUCUCUUCCUGCUAGCUUCCCACACCACACACACACACACACACACACACACACACACACCACACACACACACACACACACACCACACACAAUCACACACACACACACACACACACACACACACACACACACACACACAAUGGCUGUCUUUCUGUCCAUUUUUUUAUUUUACCCCUUUAAUUUGAAAUGCAUUUAUUCAAAAUGAUAACUUUUGACAAUUGGACUUCAACAUGUGAGUCAAACGCACAUCGGACACAGGCGGACAGACAGACAGACAGACAGACCAACUAGCACAAACGCACACACAGUGACAUCCUCAGGGGCCUUUAUUGCUGGCCAGCACACAUGGAGGUCAUUUCAACAGCCUGUCUUCCCCUAAAACCCUUAAAUGGCUUUAACAGCGGGCCGAGCUAGACCAGACACAAACUAAACAGGCGCAUGAGUGUGAUUGCACACGUCCAAUGGCACACAGGAGUAUUUCAAGAUACACACACGCAACCAGCCGAGCUCAAGGGGAACGUAUAACAACGGGGAUUACAACUCCGGCAAUUGAAUUACACAUUGGGAGACAUGAGCAGGACUGAAUGCAUAUAUGUCCGCUGUGCUUAAACCUUCUGUCAAACUCAAACGUUGGUGAAGCCAUGGUUGGAAUAUGCGUGGACGAGAUUGACGAUGAGAGCAGAGGGAGGCUGUUAAUUCUUGACGACAGCGGGUUCGAAGAAUUUGUAGACGACACAGGUGGACGGAGAAUUUCCCUCGUCGUUUCAAGUCAGUCGACGCGAAACUGGCUUUAUCGGCCAAACAUCACCGGCGGGCGUCCAGCAGAGCAAAGCAAAGGCAGGCGGACCGACUGUUCACGGAGAGGACAACCUAACGGAGAGAUUACCGAGUCAUUAUUUAGGUUACAAGAAGCCACCUGGCUGACUGAGGGAAACAACGGUUGGCUGCUGUCUGCUAAAGCCGAUAGCAGGAACGCAGCCCUUACACUAAGCACCAAACUCUGGAGCUGGAGAAGGAGUUUCCCUUACAACAUGUAUUUAUCGACAAACAGCGCCGCCUAUGAGAUCAGCCAAAACCUUGACCUAACAGACAGGCAGUUCAAAUCUGGUGUCCAGAAUCGCAGAAUGAAGAUGAAGAAGCAACACCGAAGUUCCAGGGAUACUGUGAAAACAAAACAGUGAAAACUGAUUAAACCAAGGACAUAGAAGACUGACCCUCUGAUUCAUUGACUGAAUGACAAAAUCAUUAAGUUAUUCAAAGCAUACAAUAGACACACGCACGCACGCACGCCACACACACACACAACACACACCACACACAACACACACACACACACACACACACACACACACACACACACACACACACACACACACACACACACUCAUACAAAGAUAUAUAAUCAAACACUUAAUAACACACGUUUAAUUCUGUUCCGUGUCACUUGUCCGUUUCAUCAUUGUUAUAUGGAAAUUCCAUUUAUAAUGUAGGCCUACUUUAUAUCCUGUGGGAGCUAGAAUUCAAUUUUUAAUUAAUAAGUUUAUUAGCUUGUCUUUUUGAUGCCCACUUUGAAUUAGCGCACAAUUGGUCACCUUUUUGCUUAUAGUAUUUAGUAAGGCUCCACAUCUAGUACAUUCAGCACUUUUAAAAUAGUCUUGAACAUUGCGUUUCUACGUCUCCAGUGAAGUCAGAGGGGAGCUUUUUGGAUUCCACUGCGUAAAGACAUUAGAACAAAUAUAGUAAUCCCUUGCUGACCCAGCACUUGUGUUACGUAUUGGUACUUGUUACAUCAGAAUAGCAUUGUUUUGCAUGUGUUUAAUUUACACCCAAUAUGUGGCACACAUUUGAUAUAUGCAUGUAUUGCCUGAUAGAAUGCCGGAUAGAUUGAUAACACACAUUCAAUUCGGCUUUCCAAUUUAAUGAUUAAAAUCUUCCAAUGCUUUUUUCCUCGAAGGAAUGUAUUAAUAAAGGAACGCCUAUUCAAAGUUCAGAAAGUGGAGACUUAUUGCACACACUACUUUGCAAACUGAUGCACAGUGCUAUCUAGCUAUUCAUUAAAAAUGUAAAGUAGGACACUGAUAUUCCGUUCGCUAAAUGAAGUGUAGCCUACCGGAUAUUAAACUUUCAUAUUCAGAUCCAGAGGCCACACUGACCAAAUAUUCAAUAAUGAGAGUCUUGAUUAGAGAGAGCCUCAUUGACGUCUAUCUUCAGGUAAUAUUCAAGCUCAUUUAUUUUUUAUUUAUAGUUUUAAUUGAACCAACUUGAGUGUAAAGAUUGCAUUGCCAAAUCAUAGGUUUGAUCUUAUUGUGGUGCCGUAUUCAUCACGGAGAAGCAGUAGAAUUGUAUUGAAAGUGCGGCAUUAAAAAAUAUAGCAUCGGCAUACCAUUCUAAGAUUACAAAUGGGUAUUAUUCUUACAGACGGAUUCAGCCCGAUCUAUCGUGGUCCAAAUGAAGUAUCUAUGUAAAGGCAUAUUAAACAUGGGUUAUUAUUAUUAUUAUUAUUAUUAUUAUUAUUAAUAGAAGAAGUAGUAGUCUAGUAGUAUACAGUAGAAGUAGUAGUAGUGGUAGAAGAGGCAUAGUAUUAGUAUUAUUAUAUAAACUGUUGUAGUAAUACACCUAUUACGUACUGGAUGAUAUCGUAGCCUACGUUUAAAACAAAUAGUAUUAUAACAAAGAAACUUCAUUAUUCAUUUGAUCAAUGUAGCCUACUUAGCUACCAGCCCAAUCUAUACAUUUAAUUAAAGGAAACAACUAAAUAAAUACUUUAUUCACACAUUGAAUUAUGUAAAAUUUAGGUGAGAGGCUUGGUUUGACCUAGCCUUUUAGUUUUUUGUUUGUUUUUGUUGUUUGAGUGUAUUUCGGGAAAGCCUACUUCUUCUGACUUCUAUAGCGAAAUUCCAUGGACAUCCUGAAGACGCGUGAAGUUGAAAAGCCAAGGUGCAGAUGGCUCACGAGACAUCCGCUUUCCGUGUCUCUGUUUGUGCGAGCGAGAGUAAUAAAAAAAAAACCUUAGGUCCACAGCCACAAAAACACACGCCCAUAAACAUAUUCACACAUUCUUUCUCUUGUUGUCUGCUUUUUGUAAUUGUUUGUACCUGGAAGUCCAAAAGCAGACUCUGGAAUUAUUCAUACGAUUUCAUAAAUUAUUGAGAAUGCCCGAAAGGGGAAGAGCUUCGUUUUUGGAUGGAGUAAAUUUAUUUCCAGUUAUUGAUUUAAUACGUGGUUGAGUGUCAGUGGAAAGAGUGCGUUUUAUGAAUUAUUAACCAUUCAUAACCAUGGCAUGAUCCCAUUUUUUCGCCG